Molecule: non-coding RNA, 477 nt
Organism: Caenorhabditis elegans
Lineage: Eukaryota; Metazoa; Nematoda; Chromadorea; Rhabditida; Rhabditidae
Source: Ensembl
UCAUAGCGAACCAAACUCGACUCGAAAAAUUUGAUAUUAUGGCACGACGAGUUCAAAUGAGUGGAUCGAACUCCUCCGAACGUUAGGAAUCCAAUGUAAAUUCGCGCAAAGAGAGUACAAUUGUGGAUACAGGCCCAACUGACCCACGAUUGUGCAAUGUUUCCAUCACUAUCACUCCAAGAUCUAAGAAGUUCCCAAGAUUCGCUGGAUCCCACGAUUGCGAGUUCAAAUUGACGAACGACUCGGAGUAUUCUACUCGUUUCGAAGCAUGGUGGAGAGCGCCGGAGAUCACGAUCAAUACGGAUGGAGGAUUGCUUGAAAGUGGAGAGGAACGCACCAUCACUGUCACCCAAAUUGCUCAAUCUAAGAAGCGUAAGAAGAUCCAUAUCAAAUUGUUCGUAUAUUGGAAUGGGAACUAAGCCGAACGCCUUCUGCUCAAGACUGUCAAAUUUUCAGUGACUAUUAAAUAAAGACUAU